Molecule: unclassified non-coding RNA, 221 nt
Filed under: uncultured Chytridiomycota
Lineage: Eukaryota; Fungi; Chytridiomycota
Description: sequence contains ITS1
Source: RNAcentral
AUAAAUGUUUUGGUCUCGUGCCAAACGAACAUUUGUGUGCACUAUUGUCUGUCUUUGGUAGUUCGAGUUGCCCUUGGAGUUCAACGCUCCGAGGUGCCUACCCUUCGACGAGAUUGAUUUCUUGUCGUGAUAUGGGUUGGGCUACCGCCCUUUUUUGAAAACCUUUUGUAUUUUUUUUGCCUGAACGAAGAUUUAAUCUUGAUUGGUUAAUGAUUUGAAUA